Molecule: long non-coding RNA, 838 nt
Organism: Brienomyrus brachyistius
Lineage: Eukaryota; Metazoa; Chordata; Actinopteri; Osteoglossiformes; Mormyridae
Exons: 3
Source: RefSeq, a predicted model, not a curated record
UUGUUAUACUGUAUGCUUUUACUCCCAGAGUAAAUCCCUUCGCAUUCAUCUUUAGUAGAUUUUAUUUAUCAGGUGUAAAUCCUCUUCGUACUGCUGCCUAGGUGUCCAAGGUCAAAUAUUUACUUUAAAACACACAUAGUCAGACCUGGACUGGCCAGCUGGUGUACCAGGCAUUUUCCUGGUGGGUCGAUGGGUUUGUGGGCCAUCACUGUGGCCCUACUAGGUGUCCCUGAGCUUAAUGUCUUACCGUUACUCUACGCUAUCUUGACGUUCAUCUUUGGACCCUGAGCAGUGUGAGCAAAAUGGGGGAUCUUCCAUUUAUUACAUUCUGCCGGCAAACCCGUUCAGAAAUCGUAUCGUGGAGUCAUUUUCUGAGGAUGGAUUAGGCAACCUCAGCUUCAAUGACUUUGUAGACAUGUUUCAGGUGCUCAGCAAAAUGUCUCCCAGAUACCAUUUACGCCUUCAAAACAUAUGGUUUUAAGACUGAGGUUUUCAUCUGCAAAGAGGGCCUGGAGAAAACAGUGAUUAAGUUUAUCCAGAGACGACCAGACACCUGAGGAAGCAAACUUUGUAUGUGGAAAAGCCAUCAAGGGAGCAGAUCUGGAUGGGGACAACAAACUCUACUUUGCUGACUUUGAGAAGAUAAUCUCUAGGGCUCCUGCCUUCUUGAGCACCUUCCAUGUACGAAUUUGAAACGGACCUCAGCGCACAUCUCUCCAGAUGGGUCAGUCUGAGCUGGCAUUGUGGGGGGGGGGUGACGGAUGAGGUCUUAUGUCACCUGUGACUGAGAGAUGGACCACAGUACAGCCCAGCUGGUCCAGCUACUGCACUGAACUGA